This 253-nucleotide ribosomal RNA is filed under the name uncultured bacterium. Its description in RNAcentral is "partial 16S ribosomal RNA". It matches the Rfam family "Bacterial small subunit ribosomal RNA", at positions 524 to 776 of the family's 1533-position model. The record is from RNAcentral.
UACGUAGGGGGCGAGCGUUGUCCGGAUUUAUUGGGCGUAAAGAGCGUGUAGGCGGCCAGGUAGGUCUGCUGUGAAAACUCGAGGCUCAACCUCGAGACGUCGGCGGAAACCAUCUGGCUAGAGUCCGGAAGAGGAGAGUGGAAUUCCUGGUGUAGCGGUGAAAUGCGCAGAUAUCAGGAAGAACACCCGUGGCGAAGGCGGCUCUCUGGGACGGUACUGAUGCUGAGACGCGAAAGCGUGGGGAGCGAACGGG